This 68-nucleotide transfer RNA is filed under the name Apsilochorema nigrum. RNAcentral's name for it is "tRNA-Phe". The record is from RNAcentral. Lineage: Eukaryota; Metazoa; Arthropoda; Insecta; Trichoptera; Hydrobiosidae.
ACUUAAAUAGCUUAUUCAUUAAAGCAUGAUAUUGAAGAUAUUAAGAAAAUUGUUUAAAUUUUUAAGUA